GACGAACGCUGGCGGCGUGCCUAAUACAUGCAAGUAGAACGCUGAAGAGAGGAGCUUGCUCUUCUUGGAUGAGUUGCGAACGGGUGAGUAACGCGUAGGUAACCUGCCUGGUAGCGGGGGAUAACUAUUGGAAACGAUAGCUAAUACCGCAUGAAAUUGCUUAUCGCAUGAUAAUUGAUUGAAAGAUGCAAUUGCAUCACUACCAGAUGGACCUGCGUUGUAUUAGCUAGUUGGUGAGGUAACGGCUCACCAAGGCGACGAUACAUAGCCGACCUGAGAGGGGGAUCGGCCACACUGGGACUGAGACACGGCCCAGACUCCUACGGGAGGCAGCAGUAGGGAAUCUUCGGCAAUAGGGGGAACCCUGACCGAGCAACGCCGCGGGAGUGAAGAAGGUUGUCGGAUCGUAAAGCUCUGUUGUAAGAGAAGAACGGGUGUGAGAGUGGAAAGUUCACACUGUGACGGUAUCUUACCAGAAAGGGACGGCUAACUACGUG
This 497-nucleotide ribosomal RNA is filed under the name uncultured bacterium. Its description in RNAcentral is "partial 16S ribosomal RNA". It matches the Rfam family "Bacterial small subunit ribosomal RNA", at positions 28 to 507 of the family's 1533-position model. The record is from RNAcentral.